Mercenaria mercenaria is the source of this 3989-nucleotide RNA transcript. It is a transcript of the gene named cholecystokinin receptor type A-like, with no coding region annotated. The transcript is spliced from 4 exons. The record is from RefSeq and is a predicted model, not a curated record. Lineage: Eukaryota; Metazoa; Mollusca; Bivalvia; Venerida; Veneridae.
UAUCAUAAAUACAGACGACAAAUGUUAUUACCUCUUGAAUAGCCAAUAGAUGUUAAAAGAUUUUAACGUCUGUUGUCUGAUAAAACGAUAAGCAUGCUUUUUGAAUAGAAAAUGUUUUCGGUAAAAGAAAGUAAAAGUUUGAAUAACAGAUAAGUUGUUUGCGUUGUCAUGACAGUUUGUCAUUCUUUUUUAAAUCUGUGAAAAGAAUAUGGAUAAAAUACUACAGUGUUAGUGUUGAACAAUUAUUGAAUGGUCCGAGAGAUUGAACAUUAUUUGCAAAUUAUGCAUUCAUUAUGUUUUCAUUAUGUCUUAAUAAUGUAUGAAAUAAAAGGAGGUACUUCACUGCGCACGUCCAUGAACAUGUUUUACUUUCGAUUUCUCAACCAAGGUACUCCUGCCGAAGCUCAUGAUCGUAUUUCAACCGGAUGUAGAUGUUUUGGUGUUCUGUUCCGGCACCUUGGUUGCCAAAAUGAAUGGCGUUUUUAGGCUAAAGAGUAUCCAGAACUGAGUAUGAUGUCUGACAACCGAGCUGUGGCGUGGAAAUGGAACCAGACGAAGGAAAAAGAAAACCCAAGUUAUACAGUCUCUCUGGAAAUGCUACAAUAUUUUAGAAACAUUUAAAAACGUGUUACUAAACUUUCAGUUCCAUUAUUUGAAGUUUUCCCACAUUGUAGUGUUGAAUUUUGAGCUGAACAAAGUUCCUGAACUCUGGAGCAAAAAGGUGAUUUAGAAACGACAAUUCUUACGGCUUACAUGAUUCGUGAUACAUAUUUGCAAACCGGAACCAAGAAAAAAUAAGAAGUCUUAGCUAAUUAGACGUGACGCCAUUUUUAAAGAAAAUGGAAAAUGAAAAUAAUAUUACCCUUGAGGAACUGGAUAAAUCAGAAAGAUUAAAGUAUCUUCCUCUUACAGUGUUGCUCGUGACCAUCAUGGUGAUUGGAAUUGUCGGUAAUACCCUUGUACUUAUCGUCUAUAAAACGAAAUUCACUAGAUCUAGCGCUAGAUGCUAUAUCCUAAGUCUAGCGAUGGCAGAUCUGGCUGUGUGUCUAUUUGGAAUACCAUACCAUCUUCUUGACUUGACUCUGAUUUUGACAUACACACAUACUAAUGUAUGUAAAGUAUUGAGUUUCUUUAUAGGUGCUUGCACUCUCAGUUCGGUGUUUAUUCUUCUAGUUGUUGGACUAGACAGAUAUUUCAAAGUGUGCAGGCCUUUAAAAAGACAAAUUAGAGACUUCGGUGAUAGAAAAGCGUGUUUACUCGCAACAUUUGGCGCAGUUGUAAUUUCUAUUCCAAAUGGUUUCAUAUACGGGCAAAGUUCUGUACUGACGCCGGUGAACAAUCUCACGGGUGUGGAAUGUUUCAUUGCCGACGAAUAUCACGGAUCUGAUCUAGCCGUUGGAUAUUUGGGUUUCAAUAUGUUAGUUUUUGUAAUGUCAGUAUUGUUUCUAAUCAUAAUCUAUGGUUUUAUCUGCCGGAAAAUAUAUCAGCAUGAUAAAAUGUCAGUGGAGAUAACUUUGAAGAAAUCUAAAAAGAUUUGUUUUUGUUUCACAGUUGACAAUCAAGACGAGGAAGAUGGCGGUGAAGAGCUUACUAGCGCGUUGAAUAAUGCAUUGACUGAUGAUAUCACAGAUACACAUUUCGUUACUAACGCUGAAUUUCAAAGCUCUGCCAUCGAAACGGAGACGACAGAGAAAAAAGUUUUAAAUGUAAAGUUUAAAAACUCAAAAGGUAAGCCUAAUCGUACAGAAACGGCAAAAACUAUGUGCACAAUGAUACGGCAUAAGAAACCGGGAUCAAAAGCUGAAGAAAAGAACAAAAUGAAGAUAACACUUAUGAUGAUGACAAUAACUAUUGUUUUCGUAAUUUCUUAUCUACCUUUUAUUGUUAUUUCCAUCAUGGAUACAGUUGAAGAAGCUCUUUGGACUGAUAUGACAGUUACGGAAUCUUUAUUACUUGAUCUUAUGUUAAGAUCAUAUCUAAUAAAUAAUGCAGCUAACCCCGUCAUAUACAGUUUUUGGGACAAUAGAUUUCGGAACGAAACCAAGCGGCUACUACGGAAGUUUGCGUUUUGUUUCAGAAAUUAAAAUAGGGAAAAUAUAUACGAGCAAAGACCAGGAGCAGAAUGGCUAAACACAUUGUGUGCUUUAACAAAGAAUAUUAAGGCUGGAACUGUUAAUUUGGGCGCUGAGACAGUAAAGUGAAGCAGUUUAAGUGGAUAGAAAUAGGGCAUUGAGAAAUAAACAGUGAAUUGAAGCAGUUUGAGUGGAGAGAAAUAGGGCACUGAGACAUAAACAGUGAAGUGACGUGAAGCAGUUUAAGUGGAUAGAAAUAGGGCACUGAGAAAUGAACAGUGAAUUGAAGCAGUUUAAGUGGAGAGAAAUAGGGCACUGAGACAUAAACAGUGAAGUGAAGCAGUUUAAGUGGAGAGAAAUUGGGCACUGAGAAAUGAACAGUGAAUUGAAGCGGUUUAAGUAGAGAAGCGUACGUUGUUAUCGCAGUUUAAUUAGGAGAAUGAAAAAGUUAAAUGUAAUACUAAAUACUGGCCUUUAUUUCACACCAAGUUCCAUAUUUUUUAACAAUAAUUACAAAAAGGUACCAGUCACAAAUGAUUUGGCAAGGAUUCUGAAUUUAAACUUUCAUCAAGUUUAACGUAGGUACGUUUCCAAAGUCGGAUGAAUUUCACUAUGUCAACAACAUCAUGUAACACAAUAUUUUGGUUUGAGUUUAUCUCUUUGAGCCUGCCAAACUACCUAGUACACAUUUUCUAGGAAUAGUGACAAUUAUAAAAUUCCGUUGUGUUAAGUUUUUAAGUCACCCUGACCGAUUCGGUCAUUUUACGAUAUUUAAACCUUAAUGCUUGAGGAUCUCCCCUAGUGCCGCAUUAUUUCGGACACAGGCACACAAGUGUGUAGAGGUAGACAGUCGAUUAGUUUGGAUGAAUUCCGCACCAGAGAUGAGUUCGAACCAACCUAGGGGCAAUUGGUUCGAAGUCAGAGGCCGUAACCACUUAGCCAAGGAAGCUUUUUAGAAAAGUGAAUUGAUCAAUAUAAAUCGAUCUAUAGAUAAGCUGUUAAUUAUAUUUUCUUUGAUUAUUUUUAUAAAUGCUAGAUUUAUUUUAAGAUAACAAGUGGUUGAAAUAAAAUACAUGUGUCUAAAAUAUCUGAUAUGAUCAUCAUAUCAGAUAUUUUAGACACAUGUAUUUUCUCUUUCAACUAAAUCUUUUAAGAUUCUAUAUCAUCAGAUGAUAUAGAAUCUUAAAAGAUUUAGCUGAAAGAGAUGUUUAAAGUAUGUUUUGAGGUUUUUAGGCCGAUCAUAGACAUAGAUUGGUUUUAUCGAGCUAGAUAUGUUUUACAGAGCGUUGUUUGUCACGAAAUCUGAAUAAAAUAGUGAUAAAUAUUCAAUAUAAGUUUGAAGUUAUAUGAAUGCUGCCUAAAUACACCGUACACAUCGAUCGCGCCUUUGGGUAUUAAGAGAAUAUGGUAUUGUAUUAAUAUAGCUAUGUAUUGAUAUCAAUGUAUCAGCUCCAGGGACAGAGGAAGGGAAAUAUAAAAAAAAAUGUAAUAAUGGAGUCCACAUGGUGCGGCCUGAUGUGUAACCCGUUAUUACUCUUCAAGUUCCGAAGUAAUUUAAUUACCGUUAUUUUGAUUUACUGGCUAUUAAUUCGUUUAUGAAUGAACACCAAUAUUAAUUAAUUAGACUGAAUUGCAUUAACUUCAGGGAAGCGUGCUUACUGUAGUUCGGAGGCAGUAAAGGGAUUGUCGAAAUAAAGUUAGUUGUGUACCAAACGUAAUAAAAUAUGACGUACCGUUUUGGUCAAAAGUCUGAAAUCGCUCGAGCGGUACCAUAAUGCACGGUUAGCGUGCAAAUUUACACGUUCUCCGUGUAAAUUUACACGCUUACUGUGUAUUUCAAUCGGUAGAUCUAUAAAAGUACACGCUUACCGUGUAUUUUUACGCGUUUACCGGGUAAAAUAUACGCUUAGCGUACAA